RNAcentral lists this small nuclear RNA (307 nucleotides) under Pongo abelii (Sumatran orangutan). RNAcentral describes it as "7SK RNA". It matches the Rfam family "7SK RNA". From Rfam's summary of the family: 7SK was discovered as an abundant small nuclear RNA in the mid-70s but a possible function has only recently been suggested. Lineage: Eukaryota; Metazoa; Chordata; Mammalia; Primates; Hominidae. The record is from Rfam by way of RNAcentral.
GGAUGUGAGGGCAACCUGGCUGUGACAUCUGUCACCCCAUUAAAUGCCAGGGUUGAUUUGGCUGAUCUGGCUGGCUAGGUGGGUGGCCACUUCCUCCCUUACCGCUCCAUGUGUGUCACUCCUGAAGCUGUGUGCUCGAUCGAAGAUGAUGACCAUCCCUGAUAGAGAAGGACUGGUCUUCAGUCAAGGGUAUACGAGUAGCUAUGCUGUCUUGCUAGAACCUCCAAACAAGCUCUCAAGAUAAACGGUUGUGCAGACAAAGGUUUGAUUAUGCAGCUGAAGCCUCCAGGUAGUAGGUUUCAGAGCU